This 125-nucleotide small RNA is filed under the name Marmota monax (woodchuck). Lineage: Eukaryota; Metazoa; Chordata; Mammalia; Rodentia; Sciuridae. The record is from RNAcentral.
GCUGGGUGUGGUGGUGCAUUCCUGUAACCCUAGAAGCUCAGGAGGCUGAGGCAGGAGGAUUGCAAGUUCAAAGUCACCCUCAGCUAAAGUGAAACACUAAGCAACUCAGUGAGACCCUGUCUCUA